Long non-coding RNA from Numida meleagris (helmeted guineafowl), 1797 nucleotides. RefSeq lists it as uncharacterized. NCBI's taxonomy places the organism in Eukaryota, Metazoa, Chordata, Aves, Galliformes, Numididae. The record is from RefSeq and is a predicted model, not a curated record. The transcript has 4 exons.
CCUGUUCAUUGCAGGGGAGUUGGACUAGAUGACCUUUAAUAAUUCCUUUCAUCUCAAAUUAUUCUAUGAUUCUUUGAUUCAUACUCUCAAUGUAAAUCUGACUUUUUCUUGGGGACGAGGUGUGAGGAAUGGGAGAAGGCAACAGGUGAGUGUUGUGCUUUGUAAAGGCAAAUUUGGGUUGCAGUGAAAGUGCAGAAAACCAAACUAUCAAGUUAAUUUUAUAUAUGCUGCAGCAGGUGGCUUAGAAAGAAGAAACAAAAGAAUCCUGCGCCUCUGAAGUUUUGCUCUUACACUGCAACUCUGUGGCUCUGCCAAAGGUUGUGUCCAGAAAACAUGAGAGUCAAUGUGCUCCUUACUUCAUCAAAGUUUCCUUUUUGUUUGAAGCUGCUGGGAAUUUGCAGAGUUGUCGGGCUGCUAGGUUUCUCUUCUCCAGCAGCACACAAACUGCAGGUAUACAGGUGGAAAACAGAAGGGCAAAGAUGGUUGUGUGCAUCCCAUCAUCUUCUGUGCCACUGGGGCCAGAGCACCCUCAUAAAGCUGGCGUGUCAUGCUGCAACAACUUGAAGCGUUCAUGUUACCAAUGGCAUAACUGUCUGAUUUGUCUGUGCAUAAACAGGAAGAGUUUUCUGAUUACAAUAACAAAGCACAAUUAAUAUACUUGGUGAUUCAGCUCUUUCCUUGUGUUUGUGGGGGAGCUGCACCAUGUUGUGAAGUGCUGCAUGUUGGGAAGCAGUUGAGGCAGGGUGAGGUGUGUGAAUGUUCAUCAGGAUUACUUUUCUGCUCAGGAGCUGUUCUACAGAUAAACCAUUUAUAACAGCCAUGGAAAAGGUCCCCUUCCAAAUGACCUGAGGAUGCACCUUUUGCUCCAGCCACAUCUGUAUGAUUUGUCUCUUCUGUCUGGUUAUCAGUGGGACAUCUAAGAAGGACGAAUGCUCCAAUUAAAAUUUUUCCUGCUGCUUAAAGAAAGUUUAUUAUCUGCUUAGAAAUAAGAGAAGAAAAAUCUUCUGGAAGAGUUCUCCCUAUUAGAAGACCAGAAGGGAAUCAGAGGAAUGGUCACUAUUGGAAACAGCAUGAACACAACUCUGCAAAUCCUUCUCUGAGCUACCAAGGUCACAAGAAGAAAAACAACUUCUCUGCACUUGCUUAGAAAAAUGUGAUCACCAGGCAAGUUGGUGGAUGUCAGGUGCAGCCUGGAGCCCCUCCAAGCUAAUUGCAGAAACUGAAGAAGAUUUGCUGUGCUUCUGGAAGGCUCUUCUGAUAUCCUGCUCAUAGGCAACUGUUGUAGAAGGAAGGAUUAUGUAUAUACAUCUUUUCAGAUAAUCUGAAUAAACUGUUUAUGCAAGAUGCAGACUGACAGUUGCUGAGGAUAUAAAUCUCCUGUUUAGCAAUCAGUCUGUUUGCCUACAGUGCUUGCCAGUGUGACUCUGGCCAUUUCAGGAAGACUAGACUCAAGAUGUGAAGAUGUCUGGCCACCACGUCAAUUUGGUUGCAACUCGUUUGCUGAGGUUUGCUGAGCCUCCAUGUGUCAUCCCAACUCCCUAACAUGGAAGUAGCUGCUUAGCUUUGUCUCCUACCUCAGUAUUUCUCACCCUCUGUCCUGUAAUUGUCAGUGCCUUGGGUGCUCUGCAUGCAGCCUACUUAAGGAGUUCUCAAGAAAGGAAGGGUGAUACGGCCUGGAUCUGAUUGCCCUCCAGGGCAAGGUUUUGUGAGAAGAGAGCAAAGAGGGGCAGUGCCCCAAAGGCUGUCAUCAGUAGCGUUCUGUAGCCAAAUAAAUAAAGACCUUCUUAGAUGUCCAGG